UCCUUCGUCGAACACCUGUCGUGCAGCCCCCCGCCCCCUCGUUUGGAUCACAACGCAGAGCAACGCUCCUCACCGCACCAGUCCGCACCGCCCGACGAGCAACACCACGGAAGACAUGACCACCCGCGCGCAGAUUGGCCACAGAAAUGCGCAGGCCGCCGCCAGAGAUUGCUAGAUCCGGCAAUGCCACCGCCAGCAGACGCCGGGGCCAGGGGUCGCGCCCGCCGCCGCUGUGGCCAGGGGGCGUGUGCCUCGCCCUCGCCGCGACGGGGAGGAGAGCGCACCCGCCGCUCUCACCGCGACAGAGAGGAGAGCGCGCCCGCCGACGCCGGGGCCAGAGGUCACGCCCGCCGCCGCUGUGACCAGGGGCCGCGUCCGCCCCGCCGG
Molecule: unclassified non-coding RNA, 387 nt
Filed under: Zea mays
Lineage: Eukaryota; Viridiplantae; Streptophyta; Magnoliopsida; Poales; Poaceae
Description: misc RNA Zm00001eb269350
Source: RNAcentral